CGACUCAAUUUCAUCUUGACAUUCAUCCGAAGUUGAAUCUCUAGCUCCAAGAACUUGCAAGUUGUGAAAUAUGUUGGUCCUGGUGACUUGUACUUUAAUUUUUGGGGCUCCAGACUUAAUAUUUGUUUGCAUCGCAACACACGCAGGCCAAGCUAUGGAUCUUUUUUCUUUUCUCUUUUUUAUGAAAUAAGUAAAUAACGUAGUGAUCUUAAUACCGUAGACAAGUGAAAAGUCCAAUUGACAUGAUCUAUGCUGCGCAUGUCAUUGUUUGGUUGGCACUUGACAGCCGGGCUAGAUUUCCAGUUAUAUAUGUAUUUUUCUUCUUGUUUUGGGCUUUCAAUUCAAAAAAUUCUGAAUUGAAGUUGAAAGUUCCUACAAAUAUGGCGGGAAAAUCGGACGCAAGGAAAAGCAGAGAGCCAAUGGGCAACGACGUUUAAAAAUCAGAAUCAUUGCCUAUUCCACUAAGCACUAAGUAACAUCAUCGGAUCAUCCAGUGUGACCUAGCCACCAAGGCACAGAUUGAUUGAUAUACCUGCAAUUCUUUUAGCUUAAUACAAAUAAGCAUGGUAAUUGUUUUCCUUCUUUGAUUCUUUG
Molecule: long non-coding RNA, 594 nt
Filed under: Brachypodium distachyon (stiff brome)
Lineage: Eukaryota; Viridiplantae; Streptophyta; Magnoliopsida; Poales; Poaceae
Description: long non-coding RNA (BDIS_LNC004451)
Source: RNAcentral